RNAcentral lists this ribosomal RNA (468 nucleotides) under uncultured bacterium. RNAcentral describes it as "partial 16S ribosomal RNA". It matches the Rfam family "Bacterial small subunit ribosomal RNA", at positions 28 to 507 of the family's 1533-position model. The record is from RNAcentral.
GACGAACGCUGGCGGCGUGCUUAACACAUGCAAGUCGAACGGAAAGGCCCUGCUUUUGUGAGGUGCUCGAGUGGCGAACGGGUGAGUAACACGUGAGUAACCUGCCCUUGACUUUGGGAUAACUUCAGGAAACUGGGGCUAAUACCGGAUAGGAGCUCCUGCUGCAUGGUGGGGGUUGGAAAGUUUCGGCGGUUGGGGAUGGACUCGCGGCUUAUCAGCUUGUUGGUGGGGUAGUGGCUUUCCAAGGCUUUGACGGGUAGCCGGCCUGAGAGGGUGACCGGCCACAUUGGGACUGAGAUACGGCCCAGACUCCUACGGGAGGCAGCAGUGGGGAAUAUUGCACAAUGGGCGGAAGCCUGAUGCAGCAACGCCGCGUGCGGGAUGACGGCCUUCGGGUUGUAAACCGCUUUCGCCUGUGACGAAGCGUGAGUGACGGUAAUGGGUAAAGAAGCACCGGCUAACUACGUG